ACUGAAGGCGUCUCCAGGCCCAUGGAGCCCCCAACCCAUCCCCACCGUGCCCACUAAGCCAUGUCCCUAAAUGCCACCUCUCCAUGGUUCUUCAGCACCUUUGGGGCAGCCUGUUCCAAUGCAUCACUGCUUUUGGAGAUGAAAUCUUUCCUAAUAUCCAACCCAAACCUCCCUCCUGAACCUCGAAGGGGCUGCUCCUCUUUUCUGGCAUGAAGAGCAGCCAGGUGGGCUCACCACCCCUCACUCCCUCUAUCUUUAACCAACGUGGCCG
Molecule: long non-coding RNA, 271 nt
Filed under: Gallus gallus (chicken)
Lineage: Eukaryota; Metazoa; Chordata; Aves; Galliformes; Phasianidae
Source: RNAcentral